AGUGAACGUUGGCGGCAUGCCUUACACAUACAAGUCGAACGGCAGCACGGGUGCUUGCACCUGGUGGCGAGUGGCGAACGGGUGAGUAAUACAUCGGAACGUACCUUAUCGUGGGGGAUAACGCAGCGAAAGUUGCGCUAAUACCGCAUACGCCCGGAGGGGGAAAGCGGGGGACCGUAAGGCCUCGCGCGAAUAGAGCGGCGGAUGUCUGAUUAGCUUGUUGGUGAGGUAAAAGCUCACCAAGGCGAUGAUCAGUAGCUGGUCUGAGAGGACGAUCAGCCACACUGGGACUGAGACACGGUCCAGACUCCUACGGGAGGCAGCAGUGGGGAAUAUUGGACAAUGGGGGAACCCUGAUCCAGCCAUGCCGCGUGUGUGAAGAAGGCCUUCGGGUUGUAAAGCACUUUCAGUAGGGAGGAAAGCUCGGUAGCUAAUAUCUGCCGGGAUUGACGUUACCUACAGAAGCAGCACCGGCUAACUUCGUGCCAGCCGCCGCCGUAA
Molecule: ribosomal RNA, 501 nt
Filed under: uncultured bacterium
Lineage: Bacteria
Description: partial 16S ribosomal RNA
Rfam family: Bacterial small subunit ribosomal RNA
Source: RNAcentral